AUGUUCUUUAUUGUAGAUGGAAUAAUCCACCCUCAAGUGUUUCCAUUGGUCCCUUUUCAUCAAGAACAUAAAAGCGUUAUCACAUUUGGUUGCCUGAAAAAAAACUACUUGCCCAAUCCGGUGUCUGUGGUAUGGAACGCAUCUUCUGGGGGUACACUUUCUGAAGAAAAGAAUAUCCAAUUCCCCCUCUCUGGAGAUCCACUCCGUUACAGCUCGGUCAGCCUGAUCACUGUUAGCAGUUCACAGUGGGACAGCAAUACUUACAUUUGUGAUGUGAGGCAUUUUUCCAGCAGCAUCCAGAAAACUAUACCGAGAGGUUUUGUUACACCUCCACCGUCACCAACUGUCCACAUCCUACAAGGAUCCUGCUUUAGCAGCACAGAUGAGCAAGUCGAGCUUACUUGCCAGGGAUAUAACCUAACCUCUAAGGAUGCCGAGAUAAAAUGGUUCAUCAAUGAGAAGGAGAGACCUCUUCCUCAAGACAUACUUUACCUGGAGAAUUCCUACCUAUAUGCUUUACAUAGCACAGUGAGCAUCUCUAUGGCGGAGUGGAAUAAUGGUGUUCGUGUUAAAUGCCAGGUGACAGAUACAAAAACAAGCAAAUCUAGUGAGGCUACAUCCAGGAAAUGCUCAGAUAUUGCCAACUGUUUGGAAAUCAAAGUGAUAAUGGUACCUCCCACUAUUGAGGAUCUCUAUGUCCAAAAACACGCCCCUAUAGCUUGCACGGCAUACAACCUAAAACAGCCAACCGGUUCUUCUUUUGAAUUUAACUACCCUGGAGCUCCAGACACAUUGGAUAGUCAAACUGAGGACCCUCAUCGGAAUCUAAAUGGCACUUACAGUGUGACCAGUUUCCUCACUGUGACCCCUGAGACCUGGCAAUCGAAUACAGAAUUUACUUGCAUUUACCGUUUCCCAGGGCUUACUAAACCAAUCAUUAGAACAAUCUCCAAGAAGACAGAGACAAAAUUGAUAUUACCAAACAUUGCAAUAUACCCACCACCUCCAGAGGAUAUAACCAAGGAUGAGCUCUGUGUAAUAACAUGCAUUGCCUAUGGCUUUUACCCUCAACAAAUCUACAUGGGCUGGGUAGAUGAGGAUGAUUUGGAGAUGUCCAGGGAUCAACAUGUUAACAGCGAACCAAAACGUAACGAUAGAAAUCAGAGUUUUUCAGCAAGCAGUCUACUGAGCGUUCCCUGCAGUGAAUGGAAAAAAGGCAAACGUUUUGGAUGCUUAGUGGGCCAUGAAGCCAUCCCGAUGAAAUUUAUGAAAAAAGCUAUUGACAUACAUUCUGGUAAUCCAUCAACGGUCCAUGUGUCUGUCGUCAUGUCUGAUACCACCUUGUCUUGUUAUUAA
Rana temporaria (common frog) is the source of this 1356-nucleotide non-coding RNA. The record is from the annotation of a RefSeq genome assembly. Lineage: Eukaryota; Metazoa; Chordata; Amphibia; Anura; Ranidae.